GACCCUAUAACUCAGUCGGUUAGAGUGUGGAGCUAAUACGAGAUGUUACUCCAAAGUCGCCAGUUCGAGCCUGGUUAGGGUCA
This 83-nucleotide transfer RNA is filed under the name Malassezia sympodialis ATCC 42132. It matches the Rfam family "tRNA". From Rfam's summary of the family: Transfer RNA (tRNA) molecules are approximately 80 nucleotides in length. Their secondary structure includes four short double-helical elements and three loops (D, anti-codon, and T loops). Further hydrogen bonds mediate the characteristic L-shaped molecular structure. tRNAs have two regions of fundamental functional importance: the anti-codon, which is responsible for specific mRNA codon recognition, and the 3' end, to which the tRNAs corresponding amino acid is attached (by aminoacyl-tRNA synthetases). tRNAs cope with the degeneracy of the genetic code in two manners: having more than one tRNA (with a specific anti-codon) for a particular amino acid; and 'wobble' base-pairing, i.e. permitting non-standard base-pairing at the 3rd anti-codon position. The record is from Rfam by way of RNAcentral. Lineage: Eukaryota; Fungi; Basidiomycota; Malasseziomycetes; Malasseziales; Malasseziaceae.